AGAGUUUGAUCAUGGCUCAGAAUCAACGCUGGCGGCGUGCGUAACACAUGCAAGUCGAACGGGAAAGCGGGGGCAACUCCGCGAGUAUAGUGGCAGACGGGUGAGUAACACGUGAACAAUCUACCCUUGAGAGGGGAAUAACCCCGCGAAAGCGGGGCUAAUACCGCAUAACAUCCCUGAGUCGCAUGGCACAGGGAUCAAAGGCUCCGGUCGCUCAAGGAGGAGUUCGCGGCUGAUUAGCUAGUUGGUGAGGUAACGGCCCACCAAGGCAACGAUCAGUAGCCGGCCUGAGAGGGCGUACGGCCACACUGGAACUGAGACACGGUCCAGACUCCUACGGGAGGCAGCAGUGGGGAAUUUUGCGCAAUGGGCGAAAGCCUGACGCAGCAACGCCGCGUGGAGGAUGAAGGCCUUCGGGUCGUAAACUCCUGUCAGGGGGGACGAAACGCCCGGCAACGGGCAUGACUUACCCUCGAGAG
RNAcentral lists this ribosomal RNA (479 nucleotides) under uncultured Acidobacteriaceae bacterium. RNAcentral's name for it is "bacterial SSU rRNA". It matches the Rfam family "Bacterial small subunit ribosomal RNA", at positions 8 to 487 of the family's 1533-position model. The record is from RNAcentral. Lineage: Bacteria; Pseudomonadati; Acidobacteriota; Terriglobia; Terriglobales; Acidobacteriaceae.